Molecule: non-coding RNA, 75 nt
Organism: Merluccius polli (Benguela hake)
Lineage: Eukaryota; Metazoa; Chordata; Actinopteri; Gadiformes; Merlucciidae
Source: the annotation of a GenBank genome assembly
GGGCAGGAUCAUCUAGGUUUGGAUGUUUGACUCCGAGCCAAAAGGUUCUGGGUUCGAACCCCAAUGGCCUGACCC